GUAGGUGGCAAGCGUUGUCCGGAAUUAUUGGGCGUAAAGCGCGCGCAGGCGGGUCCUUUAAGUCUGAUGUGAAAGCCCACGGGCUCAACCGUGGAGGGUCAUUGGAAACUGGGGGACUUGAGUACAGAAGAGGAAAGCGGAAUUCCAAGUGUAGCGGUGAAAUGCGUAGAGAUUUGGAGGAACACCAGUGGCGAAGGCGGCUUUCUGGUCUGUAACUGACGCUGAGGCGCGAAAGCGUGGGGAGCAAACAGGAUUAGAUACCCUGGUAGUCCACGCCGUAAACGAUGAGUGCUAAGUGUUAGGGGGGUUUCCGCCCCUUAGUGCUGCAGCUAACGCAUUAAGCACUCCGCCUGGGGAGUACGGCCGCAAGGCUG
RNAcentral lists this ribosomal RNA (374 nucleotides) under uncultured organism. Its description in RNAcentral is "partial 16S ribosomal RNA". It matches the Rfam family "Bacterial small subunit ribosomal RNA", at positions 527 to 896 of the family's 1533-position model. The record is from RNAcentral.